GACGAACGCUGGCGGCGUGCCUAAUACAUGCAAGUCGAGCGGACCGACGGGAGCUUGCUCCCUUAGGUCAGCGGCGGACGGGUGAGUAACACGUGGGUAACCUGCCUGUAAGACUGGGAUAACUCCGGGAAACCGGGGCUAAUACCGGAUGCUUGAUUGAACCGCAUGGUUCAAUCAUAAAAGGUGGCUUUUAGCUACCACUUACAGAUGGACCCGCGGCGCAUUAGCUAGUUGGUGAGGUAACGGCUCACCAAGGCGACGAUGCGUAGCCGACCUGAGAGGGUGAUCGGCCACACUGGGACUGAGACACGGCCCAGACUCCUACGGGAGGCAGCAGUAGGGAAUCUUCCGCAAUGGACGAAAGUCUGACGGAGCAACGCCGCGUGAGUGAUGAAGGUUUUCGGAUCGUAAAACUCCUGUUGUUAGGGAAGAACAAGUACCGUUCGAAUAGGAGCGGUACCUUGACGGUACCUAACCAGA
RNAcentral lists this ribosomal RNA (480 nucleotides) under Bacillus licheniformis. RNAcentral's name for it is "bacterial SSU rRNA". It matches the Rfam family "Bacterial small subunit ribosomal RNA", at positions 28 to 487 of the family's 1533-position model. Lineage: Bacteria; Bacillati; Bacillota; Bacilli; Caryophanales; Bacillaceae. The record is from RNAcentral.